AUUGAACGCUGGCGGCAGGCCUAACACAUGCAAGUCGAACGAGUGGCGGACGGGUGCGUAAUGUCUGGGAAACUGCCCGAUGGAGGGGGAUAACUACUGGCAACGGUGGCUAAUACCGCAUACCAUCGGAUGUGCCCAGAUGGGAUUAGCUAGUAGGUGGGGUAACGGCUAACCUAGGCGACGAUCCCUAGCUGGUCUGAGAGGAUGAUCAUGCACACUGGAACUGAGACACGGUCCAGACUCCUACGGGAGGCAGCAGUGGGGAAUUUUGCACAAUGGGCGCAAGCCUGAUGCAGCCAUGCCGCGUGUAUGAAGAAGGCCGUAGGGUUUUAAAGUACUUUCAGCGAGGAGGCGUUACUCGCAGAAGAAGCAUCGGCUAACUCCGUGCCAGCAGCCGCGGUAAUAC
This 406-nucleotide ribosomal RNA is filed under the name uncultured bacterium. RNAcentral describes it as "partial 16S ribosomal RNA". It matches the Rfam family "Bacterial small subunit ribosomal RNA", at positions 30 to 526 of the family's 1533-position model. The record is from RNAcentral.